This 449-nucleotide ribosomal RNA is filed under the name uncultured bacterium. Its description in RNAcentral is "bacterial SSU rRNA". It matches the Rfam family "Bacterial small subunit ribosomal RNA", at positions 355 to 796 of the family's 1533-position model. The record is from RNAcentral.
UGGGGAAUAUUGGACAAUGGGGGCAACCCUGAUCCAGCGAUGCCGCGUGUGUGAAGAAGGCCUGCGGGUUGUAAAGCACUUUAGUUGGGGAGGAGAUUGGGGUGGUUAAGAGCUACUCUAAGAGACGUUACCCAAAGAAUAAGCACCGGCUAACUCUGUGCCAGCAGCCGCGGUAAUACAGAGGGUGCGAGCGUUAAUCGGAAUUACUGGGCGUAAAGGGCGCGUAGGCGGUUUGAUAAGUCAUAUGUGAAAUCCCUGGGCUUAACCUAGGAAUGGCGUGUGAUACUGUUAGACUUGAGUAGGGUAGAGGGAAGUGGAAUUUCCGGUGUAGCGGUGAAAUGCGUAGAUAUCGGAAGGAACACCAGUGGCGAAGGCGGCUUUCUGGACUCAUACUGACGCUGAGGCGCGAGAGCGUGGGGAGCAAACAGGAUUAGAUACCCCCGUAGUCC